AUGACAAAGAAAAGAAGGAACCAUGUCAUGCCAAAAAGAGGCACAGCCACAUGCAGCCUAUUUGCUGCAGACACUGUGCCCAAUGUAUGCCCAAGGACAAGGCUACUAAGAAGUUCGUCAUUCAAAACAGAAGAGGCUGCAGCUAUCAGACAUUUCCAAAGGGAGUGUCUUCGACUCCUGCGUGCUUCCCAAGGUAUAUGUGAAGCUACGUUAAUGCCUGAGUUGUGCCAUUCACAGCAUGUUAGUUGAGAAUGGAUCUCAUGAAGUACUGAAUGCACCCACCAUGAUUUAGACCUCCUGGUGCUGCCCCAUGACCUCCAACAAAACCCUUGUAA
This 335-nucleotide long non-coding RNA is filed under the name Homo sapiens (human). RNAcentral describes it as "non-protein coding lnc-NRIP1-13:1". The record is from RNAcentral. Lineage: Eukaryota; Metazoa; Chordata; Mammalia; Primates; Hominidae.